RNAcentral lists this ribosomal RNA (253 nucleotides) under uncultured bacterium. RNAcentral's name for it is "partial 16S ribosomal RNA". It matches the Rfam family "Bacterial small subunit ribosomal RNA", at positions 524 to 776 of the family's 1533-position model. The record is from RNAcentral.
UACAGAGGUCCCGAGCGUUGUUCGGAUUCACUGGGCGUAAAGGGUGCGCAGGUGGCUUGGCAAGUUUGAUGUGAAAGCUCAGGGCUUAACCCUGAAAUGGCAUUGAAUACUGUUGAGCUGGAGGUUUGGAGGGGGGACUGGAAUUCUUGGUGUAGCAGUGAAAUGCGUAGAUAUCAAGAGGAACACCAGUGGCGAAGGCGAGUCCCUGGACAACACCUGACACUGAGGCACGAAAGCUAGGGGAGCAAACAGG